Molecule: ribosomal RNA, 890 nt
Filed under: Staphylococcus aureus
Lineage: Bacteria; Bacillati; Bacillota; Bacilli; Caryophanales; Staphylococcaceae
Description: bacterial SSU rRNA
Source: RNAcentral
UUUAGAAGUUUGAAUCAUGCUCAGGAUGAACGCUGGCGGCGUGCCUAAUACAUGCAAGUCGAGCGAACGGACGAGAAGCUUGCUUCUCUGAUGUUAGCGGCGGACGGGUGAGUAACACGUGGAUAACCUACCUAUAAGACUGGGAUAACUUCGGGAAACCGGAGCUAAUACCGGAUAAUAUUUUGAACCGCAUGRUUCAAAAGUGAAAGACGGUCUUGCUGUCACUUAUAGAUGGAUCCGCGCUGCAUUAGCUAGUUGGUAAGGUAACGGCUUACCAAGGCAACGAUGCAUAGCCGACCUGAGAGGGUGAUCGGCCACACUGGAACUGAGACACGGUCCAGACUCCUACGGGAGGCAGCAGUAGGGAAUCUUCCGCAAUGGGCGAAAGCCUGACGGAGCAACGCCGCGUGAGUGAUGAAGGUCUUCGGAUCGUAAAACUCUGUUAUUAGGGAAGAACAUAUGUGUAAGUAACUGUGCACAUCUUGACGGUACCUAAUCAGAAAGCCACGGCUAACUACGUGCCAGCAGCCGCGGUAAUACGUAGGUGGCAAGCGUUAUCCGGAAUUAUUGGGCGUAAAGCGCGCGUAGGCGGUUUUUUAAGUCUGAUGUGAAAGCCCACGGCUCAACCGUGGAGGGUCAUUGGAAACUGGAAAACUUGAGUGCAGAAGAGGAAAGUGGAAUUCCAUGUGUAGCGGUGAAAUGCGCAGAGAUAUGGAGGAACACCAGUGGCGAAGGCGACUUUUUGGUCUGUAACUGACGCUGAUGUGCGAAAGCGUGGGGAUCAAACAGGAUUAGAUACCCUGGUAGUCCACGCCGUAAACGAUGAGUGCUAAGUGUUAGGGGGUUUCCGCCCCUUAGUGCUGCAGCUAACGCAUAAGCACUCCCCCCCC